AGCGAUUCCAAGCCGGAGAGCGCCACAUCCACUGAAUGGCGCUGACAAACUGCGCCACACAGCUUCUCCUGCGACAGCUGCUCUCACAGACCCAUGUUUUCUGUUCACUCGCUCACCCGAAUCAGGUGACACCCUGCAAGGGUAACUAUUGGCUCUUGUCUCAGACCUUCCCCGAGGUGAUUGGUGGAGUGACGAGCACUCAGCAUGUGACCUCUACAAUGAGCUUCCGCCCACAGAGACAGUAUGGCGGAUCACGGCGUAUAAAUACUCCUCGAGAAGGUGAAGUCUCCUUGGUUACGGUGUAAAAAUACGGAAGCGGCUCUAAACCCAAGAGUGAAAGUCACAGGAGCCGCGAUGUUUAAUAACCCUGCCAGACCCCAAGGAGAUGUCUUCCACUCGAAAAUUAAUCCUCAGCACGACAGAUGUACAAUGAACACAGUCAUAUGUCACAGCAGGCGAGAACAGACAAUAGGUCCUCAGCCUACAGCUGUCAGCCGAGUAGUGAAGUAAUUACAACCUGCCUCUGACCCAAACUGGCCUGAAGCCCAACACGGAGGACCUGUGGAGGGCCACCAAAAGAGAAGAAGAAGCAGAAAAAGGACAUGAUAUGACACAGACUGAUAAUGACAAAUAGAGGGAAAGGACAAAGAAGAGAUAGCAAAAGGGGAAUAAAAAAUAUAGAAGAGCGUGACUGAGUCUGCAAUGGUGGUUAAUGACAGAAGGAGGUAGAUGAGGGCAGGCAAACUAGGGGGGCGAGCAGGAUGGCAGAGGGAGAAGGGAGGGAAAGCUUCCGACAAAAGGAAGUGGGAGACAGUCCAGUAAACACAUGGUGGGUGAGUACAUUUGCGUGUGUGUGUGUGUGUGUGCUCGUGAAUCCCUGAACAUGUUGGAGCAACAACAACCACAUGGUAAGGGACUGCAAGUCAAUGGUCACAGCAGUAAUUGCAUUAUAUUCCUCAAUGCUAAACUUGAAAAUCACAUUCAAAUUCAAACAAAGCCUCCAAGAGGAAACGCCCAUGUAAAUCUACGUAUAACCAUAAACCGUAUGCAUGCACAACAAUCAGAAGCAUUUGA
Molecule: long non-coding RNA, 1074 nt
Organism: Gasterosteus aculeatus aculeatus (three-spined stickleback)
Lineage: Eukaryota; Metazoa; Chordata; Actinopteri; Perciformes; Gasterosteidae
Source: RefSeq, a predicted model, not a curated record